AGCAGCCGCGGUAAUUCCAGCUCCAAUAGCGUAUAUUAAAGUUGUUGCAGUUAAAAAGCUCGUAGUUGAAUUUCGGGAUCAAUACGUUGGUCGUGCUUUCGGGUACGUACUGGCGUCAUUGGUUUCUCUCUUCUGACGAACCAUGAUGUCAUUAGUUUGGUGUUAUGGGGAGUUAGGACUGUUACUUUGAAAAAAUUAGAGUGUUUAAAGCAAGCUAACGCUUGAAUACAUUAGCAUGGAAUAAUGAAAUAGGACGUUCGAUCCUAUUUUGUUGGUUUCUAGGAUUGACGUAAUGAUUAAUAGGGAUAGUUGGGGGCAUUAGUAUUCAAUUGUCAGAGGUGAAAUUCUUGGAUUUAUUGAAGACUAACUACUGCGAAAGCAUUUGCCAAGGAUGUUUUCAUUAAUCAAGAACGAAAGUUAGGGGAUCGAAGACGAUCAGAUACCGUCGUAGUCUUAACCAUAAACUAUGCCGACUAGGGAUCGGAUGAUGUUAAUUUUUAAUGACUCAUUCGGCGCCUUA
RNAcentral lists this ribosomal RNA (520 nucleotides) under uncultured Glomus. RNAcentral's name for it is "SSU rRNA". It matches the Rfam family "Eukaryotic small subunit ribosomal RNA", at positions 569 to 1090 of the family's 1831-position model. Lineage: Eukaryota; Fungi; Glomeromycota; Glomeromycetes; Glomerales; Glomeraceae. The record is from RNAcentral.